GUCGUUGCCAAUUCAACGACCGGGCGUGAGAACCCGAACCAAUCAAGGCGCAAGGCGCCCCCAUACUGUUGCAGGCGCUUUUUUG
This 85-nucleotide small RNA is filed under the name Pseudomonas chlororaphis subsp. aurantiaca PB-St2. Its description in RNAcentral is "isrK". Lineage: Bacteria; Pseudomonadati; Pseudomonadota; Gammaproteobacteria; Pseudomonadales; Pseudomonadaceae. The record is from RNAcentral.